AUAUUGCACAAUGGGCGCAAGCCUGAUGCAGCCAUGCCGCGUGUGUGAAGAAGGCCUUAGGGUUGUAAAGCACUUUCAGCGAGGAGGAAGGCGUUGUAGUUAAUAGCUGCAGCGAUUGACGUUACUCGCAGAAGAAGCACCGGCUAACUCCGUGCCAGCAGCCGCGGUAAUACGGAGGGUGCAAGCGUUAAUCGGAAUUACUGGACGUAAAGCGCACGCAGGCGGUUUGUUAAGUCAGAUGUGAAAUCCCCGAGCUUAACUUGGGAACUGCAUUUGAAACUGGCAAGCUAGAGUCUUGUAGAGGGGGGUAGAAUUCCAGGUGUAGCGGUGAAAUGCGUAGAGAUCUGGGGGAAUACCGGUGGCGAAGGCGGCCCCCUGGACGAAGACUGACGCUCAGGUGCGAAAGCGUGGGGAGCAAAC
This 420-nucleotide ribosomal RNA is filed under the name uncultured bacterium. RNAcentral describes it as "bacterial SSU rRNA". It matches the Rfam family "Bacterial small subunit ribosomal RNA", at positions 361 to 773 of the family's 1533-position model. The record is from RNAcentral.